GCCAUAAGUGUGAAACCAAAUCUCAUGCUGAACAACAGCCGUGAAAGCACCUGAGCUGAACCAUGAUGAAGUAUUCAUCUUUUUCCCUUUCAUUCUUUCAAAUUUGAUGGUAACAACACAUCACUAUUCAUCUUCUUCUCUUUCACUCUUUCAAAUUUCAACUCUUUUCUUCAAAAUUUUCCACUUCAAUUUUCACCACAAUUCAUCAUCAUGUUCAAGUUCAAUUCAUUUUGCCACAAAACCCUAAUCUAUUAUCUCAACGGAUUAACAUUACUAUCCCCAAACCCUAACCCUCUUUUGUUUUCUCUUCAUUUCUGCACCAACACUUCCGAUUCAACCUCAUUUGCAGUUUCCUACCUCAUCAACAAUUUUGGGUUUUCUCCAAAAUCUGCUCCCAAACUUUGCUCCACUUACAAUGUUCGUUUCAAGACUGCUCAAAAACCUGAUUCAGUUCUCAAUUUCUUUAGAAACCAUGGUUUCUCAGACACCCAAUUACGUCAUAUCAUUGCAAAAUCACCAUGGCUACUUUCCUGCAACCCCUCCAAAAGGGUGUUGCCAAAGUUUCAAUUUUUACUCUCCAAAGGUGCUUCUACAUCUGACAAUGUUAACAUUGUCAGUAAGAACCCUGCUGUCCUGUCUGCAAGCCUCGAGAAUCGUAUAGUCCCAGCCUAUGAAUUGGUUUAUAGAUUUUUGCAAUCAGACAAGGACACUAUUGCUUUGUUGAAGUACAAUCCAACUAUCUUUGGAACAAGUUAUGUGGUAGAUAACAUCAAAGUGCUUACUGAGAGUGGAGUAACUGACUCAAAUAUUGCAAGAUCGCUUCGGACCUGGAUUAAGUUAUUCUACAGGACGGACUUGCAUGAGUUGGUGGAGGAAUUGAAGGAUUUGGGGUUUGAUCCUUCGCGGUCAAUUUUCACAAUAGCAUUGAUCGCCAAAACAUCAAUAACCAAAACGUUGUGGAAAGAAAAAGUUGAUGUUUUUAAGAAAUGGGGUUGGUCUAAUGAAGAUGCUCUUAAAGCAUUUAGAAAGCAACCUCAUUGUAUGUUAACAUCCAUUGAUAAAAUUAAUUUAGUGAUGAGCUAUUGGGUCAAUCAGUUGGGUUGGGAUGCUCUUGCCAUUGCCAAAACGCCAAGGGUUUUUGGGGCCAGUCUGGAAAAAACGAUCAUACCAAGAGCCUCGGUUGUGCAAUAUCUUUUGAAGAAAGGUUUGCUAAAUAAAGAAGCAAGUUUAACUUCUCCAUUUGUAGUCACGGAGAAGAUUUUCCUUGACAUGUAUAUAAAUCGUUUUAAGGAGGAGUCUUCGUAUCUAUUAAAGCUCUAUGAAGAAAAACUGAAUCUUGCACAAACCACGGAAGAAACUGGCAUGAUAUGAACAAAUUUUCAGAUACUUUUCCUUUGGUUAAACAUCAUUGUUCCAAGCGAAGAUUUUAUGUAGUUUCUGUUACCGAUGUAGAACAAGAUUCAACAGUUUUGCUGUCUUCUUGAUCCAAUAAGGUUCUUUCCAAGGAGGAAGAGGGUUUGUUACAAAAUACUGCCAGGCUGUUAUUGCCACACUUACUAAAAUGAAGGUUGGGUAGAGCCUUCAUAGUCAUACCAAUUGAAGUCCAAACAAGCAUAUAAUAUAAAGCAGAAGUUGUAUUUGAUUACAAAUAUUUUAAUCUUAUGUUACUCACUUGUCAACCGGGUGAAGCCGGCAUUAGAGCUGUUUUGACUUUUGAGGAAUGAGUGUGGAAAUGUAAUAGCAGAUUUGCGGUAUCAGUUGGAGUUAAGGAUUCAAAUGAAUCUAAGUUCUUAGCUAUUGUUUUUGCUCUUGAGCAGUCUUUGGGCAAAGAGUGGCUAUCUGGUGGCUUGGGUGGAUAAUGGUGAAGCUUGCCCUUGGAGUUUGCGGUUUGCAAGUAUAUUCUGAUGUCGAAAAAAUGAUCUUGCGAUGAUGCUAGGGUGGACCUUUUUCUUUCUUAAAAUUAUAAUUAUCGAAAAAAAUGCUACUGGCUUAUCGAAAUAUUUAGACUUUUGUUUGUUUUCUAGAUUUUGAUUUAUUUUAAAAGUUCAAAAAGCAUGGACAAGAUUAAAAUAUCUGAUUUAAUCUUAGUCAAGUUCCUGUUAUGUCUAAUUUAAAAUUCAAAUAUUUGAACUAUCUCAAUCUUAUAUGUAACUGAGAUUUUCAAGUCAAUGCAGUUAAUCCAUAAAUGAGGUGCUUAGCCAAGUCCUUGUUCUUUAAAUUCUUAGCAUUCUUGUGCCAGGCUAAUGAUUUGGGUUGAUCUUAUACUUGGAAUACCACUUGUGUUACUUCCUUUUUCUUAAAUCAAUUAUAAGAUCAACGCCCUGAUUAUUUAAGAAAAAUACUAUGUGGGUAGUUAUAUAUUUUGAAAAAAUAAUAAAAUAAAAAUAAUAAGGAUAAAAUGGAAUAAAUUUCUCCCGUGAAUUUAAGUCAGUUGUCAAGGACAUUGUAUUUUAUAUGCAGGGGGUUGGGGUUCAAAACCCGGUCAUCCCACUUAUCCACCUCAGGUGGAAUAAAUGUAAAAAGCUAUAAAUUCAAAUAUUACUUAUAGAGUGCGUUUGAUUCACAAAACAGCAAAUACCACAUAAAAUAGUACAUGAGAGAACAAGGUAGUACAAGACAUGGCAAAAUUGUAUCGGAGAGAAAUAGGGUGAUAAUAUUUUUAAUAUUCAAAUAUAAAAUGAGUAUUUCCAUAUUUUUUAUAGUUGUAUUGAGGACAAAAAAUUGUUUUGUGGUCCCGUAAGGGACAAAAAUUCUUGUUUUUGUCAUGUUCCUUGCUACCUAUUUUAUUCAAUCUCAUAACCAGUUUCUUAAUCAAACAGGGUACAAGUAUAGUUUUCUAGUCCAGUCCCUUUAGAGCAGACUAUGAAGCCCUGAUACGUGACACAAUACCGAUACAACGCCGAUACGGGAAAUUUUUCAAAAUUCCCGAUACGAUACGUGAUCGGACGACAACGUGACUGCAAGUAUA
Trifolium pratense (red clover) is the source of this 2968-nucleotide RNA transcript. RefSeq lists it as uncharacterized. The transcript has 3 exons. The record is from RefSeq and is a predicted model, not a curated record. NCBI's taxonomy places the organism in Eukaryota, Viridiplantae, Streptophyta, Magnoliopsida, Fabales, Fabaceae.